GGUGGGGAGUGCACAGGAGGAUGAACUGGUGCGUGAGAGUGUGGCAUGGGCGAGUGGGCUGGAGAAUGCAUGGGAGCGUAAACGGGGGCGUGGUGGCGGUGAUGGUGAUGGUGGUGAGUAGGUGCAAGGCUGGGUGCGACAGUUGGUGGAUGGGCAUGGUGGUGGUGAGGAGGGUGAUAAUUAGGUGGUUGAGUUGGUGACAUAGCUGGGUGGUGAGAGUAGCCAUGAUGGUGUGGCGGGAUAGGUGAAACUGCUUCUAUUUCUUCAUCACUAAACACUGUGAAACACAGCAGUGAAAGUUGCAGUAGCACAAGUGCUUUAGCCAUAGCAAAG
This 333-nucleotide long non-coding RNA is filed under the name Ricinus communis (castor bean). Its description in RNAcentral is "long non-coding RNA (RCOM_LNC000008)". Lineage: Eukaryota; Viridiplantae; Streptophyta; Magnoliopsida; Malpighiales; Euphorbiaceae. The record is from RNAcentral.